Molecule: long non-coding RNA, 1725 nt
Organism: Tetranychus urticae (two-spotted spider mite)
Lineage: Eukaryota; Metazoa; Arthropoda; Arachnida; Trombidiformes; Tetranychidae
Source: RefSeq, a predicted model, not a curated record
UUUUAUUUCUUUAUUAUUAAUAAAUGGUUUCAGUAAUUUCCUACUUUUUUUGGUAUUUAUUUCCGUGUACAAUAACUUUUAAACCUGUGUUCAGUCAAUUGACUCUAACAGUACAUCAACAUAUUAGUUGAAAAUGCGUUAAAUGUCUUAAAAAUUAGUCUCAUAAUUUACUCAUUACACACAUUAUCAUCAUACAUAUAUGUAAAUUCUCUUUCUUUUACCAUCACCAUAACCAUCAUCAUGGUCCAAAGGCAGGGGAAGAUGAAGAAGCAAAAAUUUGGAAGCAAAGUAAACUGAAAAAAAGACUUACGGGAAAAAUUAUUGGUUCCUCUGUAUCCCAAAAGUAGCAGAGACUCUAAUGUUAUUCCAUUUUUGAAGACAGGCAAAAAAGGAACCAAAGAUUUAUAGGCUACAACCUAUACACAUCAUCAAGUUGAAAAUGAUUGUUGAAUGUUUCAAUUCACAUUGACCUGACAAUGAUAAGUAUAGCCUAUUAACAAAAGACAAGUAGCAUCACUAUCAUCAUCAAUGACAAGCCAGGAGAAGGAGAAAAACUCAAAAAAAUCGCAAUGUUUGACAAGGAACAUCAACAAUUCUAAAGUUGCCGUGUUAACUAGUUAUUCAGCCAUUUCCACGAUACCAAAAGAUAAAAGGCUCAAGCAAUAAACACGAAUCAGCUGAAUCAUGUCUUUAGGAAUUUUUGAAUCAUGUCUCUCUGUUGGUUACUUGGUUUUUCAUGUUUUAUUAGCAUUGUUUAAUGGAUUGAAAGUUUUCCGUGUAAUACAUUUCAAAAUAUAUAUAUCAAGGUACACAGAUAAAAGGCUUUGGAAAUGAAAAGGCAGAUAGUUGUUCAAUACAAAAUGGGAAGAUUGACAAUGAAAAAGUUGAAAGUUGUAUUAUCCUGAAAAGACAUGAAGAGACAAAAUGAAACGUUGUUUGGUUACAAACUAUCCAUGUUGACACAAUUUUAUCCUGAUUUUUACAUGUUUUUAAACAAUUUCCACGUAAACAAACCUAUCGACUUGUUUACAGAUGAAAUGUUGAACUAAACCAGGGGAAAGAAGCCAAAAAAUUUAGUUCCAAGGAGAAAUCGUCCAAAAAAAACAUGAACAACAUCGAUACGCUUAAACACAUCUACAACAGCAGAAAAAACAACAACGAAACAUUUGUUCACCAUGUUUACUUAAAGACAACAUAAUUUUAUCUGUAACGUCAAAGGAAUCAAAGUAAUUUAACAAGAAAUAAAAUUUGUUGCCCCAUUUUAAUGGACCUGAUUUUUGGAGCCAUUAAACCCAUGGAAUUGGAUUCAUUGUUUCACCAUGACAAUUAAUUUACUACAAGUCGUAUGACUUUCCUACAUUGGUAAUAAAAUUCAAGAGCAAUACAUUAAAUCACAAUCAGCAAUGUUGGAGACUGUUUCAACCGCAAAAUACAUUUCAAUGCAACUUUCACUUUUCUUUCUACUUUAUUGUCAACUUUAAUUGAGAAAUAUAUUUCAACCUUUUCAUUCAAUUUACAGUCAUUCAGUGAAUGAGUAAAAUUUAGCACCAAAAAAGAGGAAGCAAAACCAUUGAAUUCAUGUAGAUACAAGUUAAUCCGAAAACUGUUUUCUCUAUUAUCAUAAUGAGCUUGUUCAAAAUGCUACUUUUAUCAUCAAAUUGAGUCGGAGAACCACAAUUACUCUUAGUUUCAUUACAAGAGUUUUAUUAAUAUACACAAAUCCAA